AAAACUUUCAACAACGGAUCUCUUGGUUCUGGCAUCGAUGAAGAACGCAGCAAAAUGCGAUAAGUAAUGUGAAUUGCAGAAUUCAGUGAAUCAUCGAAUCUUUGAACGCACAUUGCGCCCGCCAGUAUUCUGGCGGGCAUGCCUGUUCGAGCGUCAUU
RNAcentral lists this ribosomal RNA (158 nucleotides) under Fusarium fujikuroi. RNAcentral describes it as "5.8S ribosomal RNA". It matches the Rfam family "5.8S ribosomal RNA". From Rfam's summary of the family: 5.8S ribosomal RNA (5.8S rRNA) is a component of the large subunit of the eukaryotic ribosome. It is transcribed by RNA polymerase I as part of the 45S precursor that also contains 18S and 28S rRNA. RNAcentral also lists the same sequence under 30 other names. Lineage: Eukaryota; Fungi; Ascomycota; Sordariomycetes; Hypocreales; Nectriaceae. The record is from RNAcentral.